RNAcentral lists this signal recognition particle RNA (271 nucleotides) under Exophiala spinifera. RNAcentral's name for it is "Fungal signal recognition particle RNA". It matches the Rfam family "Fungal signal recognition particle RNA". Lineage: Eukaryota; Fungi; Ascomycota; Eurotiomycetes; Chaetothyriales; Herpotrichiellaceae. The record is from Rfam by way of RNAcentral.
UGGCUGUCGUGGUCAUAAAUUUAGGAGGUUGCCUUUUAGCUUGGGCGUCGCUUCACAUUCCACUUGUGCAUGUGUGCCUUGCUCGGAGCUUCGGGUCGUCCAUCGUACUCGUGUGUGUAAACCACGAUUGCUACGGGGCGCUAAGCAAUGGAGAUGACACUUGAGGGAAGCAAUUCUGCAGAGACAUUUCCACCCGGAGCUGGCGGCGUGAGAAUACACCGUGACAAGAUACGCGAAGUUUCAAGCUUGUCUGGCGAUCAACUUUUUUGUU